Long non-coding RNA from Poecile atricapillus (Black-capped chickadee), 965 nucleotides. RefSeq lists it as uncharacterized. Lineage: Eukaryota; Metazoa; Chordata; Aves; Passeriformes; Paridae. The record is from RefSeq and is a predicted model, not a curated record. The transcript is spliced from 3 exons.
CUUAAGCCUAAAAGCCUUGUUAAAAUGAACCACUGGCCCAGUGAGCCGGGGAGGAGAUGGAAGCAACCAGGAGCAGAGCUCUGCAGGGGGAUCCUGCCCUUGGCCUCUGCACCCACCUCACAGGUCCUGGAGCCGCAGGUGCAUGCAAGCGAAGGCAACUGGAAACAAAGACUGCAGCCUUUAUCUCCAGGAUGGGCUUGGAAAGCUGUGACAGAAGGCAGCUCAGGAAUGAUUUCAGGUAACUGACUCCACAUGAGCUCUCAUUCAACAGCAUGCUGAAAGCAUCCAACAUCUUCCUUGAAUAUAUAACAAGAGAAUAUCAAACAAAGGCAGGGGAGCAUCUCGACUCUUCACAUUACUGUUGAAAUGAUUACUGUGGAUGUUAUUGGCAACUUGGAUGUCUAGAAUUAAAAAGGUCACCAAAGUUCAGGAAAGGAAAGCCAUAGACACUAUCCAGGCAUCAGAAAACAAGCUGUGGUACAAGAGUGGAAUGGCAUAAACUGCUCAAUUUGCUGGAAAGAAGACUGAGGGGUGCUCCAGCCUCAGUGAGAAAUGUUCCUGACAGUUCAGCAGUCUCCACCUCAGAGAGGAGCAGCAAGAUCUGAAGGCUGAAGCAGCAGUUAGAAAAAUUCAGUGUGGAAAGGAAAAACAAGAUGCUAGCAGGAGGGCGGGAGAUGUUGGAUCAGCUACCCAGAAGGCAGCAGUUUUACCUAUUUUACAACCAAUUCCUGUAUGUGAGACAGGAUGUUGAGUACAGCUCAGCAGGGCUGGGCAGCUCUCAGGAAUCGGGGUUGGAUGCCCUGUGGAGGCAUCACCCUGUGCUAAGCUGAGUCUUGAGCCCAGAGCAGCACACUUUGUGAGUGCCCCUAGCCAAGCGCCUCUGCAAGGAUCCUGCACCUCUCUGAAGUGUCUCAUUUGGGGAAAAAAUUGCUGUGGAAAUAAAGCAAUGUCUCUUCCUUAGUGAU